Molecule: ribosomal RNA, 727 nt
Filed under: Dorylaimopsis tumida
Lineage: Eukaryota; Metazoa; Nematoda; Chromadorea; Araeolaimida; Comesomatidae
Description: eukaryotic LSU rRNA
Rfam family: Eukaryotic large subunit ribosomal RNA
Source: RNAcentral
CAAAGAACUUUGAAGAGAGAGUUCAAGAGGGCGUGAAACCGCUUGGAAGGAAACGGAUAGAGCCGACGAUGGUUGGCGAGAUUCAGUUCACCGGCUAGAGCUCUGGUGCGUUCGCGGACUUAUCGCCGCGUCGUGCCGGUCGUUCGUGUCGGUGGAUGCAUUUCUCGUCGACGCGCAUCGAGGGCGGAGGAGACGCGGAACGAAGUGUCGGUUGCCGGCCCCGUUAGGGGUGUCCCACCGACGCGGAGGUCUGUCGUUUCUUCCGUGUCUAAGGCGUCCGCUCUGCUCGGUAGCCGGGCUACUCGGUCGAACGAAUCUGCGCGACUUGCUCGCACGUCGCGCUAACCCUCGGCUGUGUGUGUUCGGUGAUCCGAGAGACGUCGACUUCGGUGUCAAAGUCGGCGACCUAUCCGACCCGUCUUGAAACACGGACCAAGGAGUCUAACAUGUGUGCGAGUCACUGGGUGGCAAACCCAGAGGCGUAAUGAAAGUGAAGAGCGAUUCUGUCGUUUGAUACGGGACCACCCCCGAGGUGCGCACCGUAGCCCCGUCUCGUCUGCUUGUCAGUGGGGCGGAGGUAGAGCAUACACGUUGGGACCCGAAAGAUGGUGAACUAUGCCUGAGCAGGACGAAGCCAGAGGAAACUCUGGUGGAGGUUCGAAGCGGUUCUGACGUGCAAAUCGAUCGUCAGACUUGGGUAUAGGGGCGAAAGACUAAUCGAACCAUC